CCUCCCCCCACCUCGUCUCCCCCUCCCCCUCCCCCUCCUCCCCUUCAGUAAAUAAUUUUCACUCCAUCCAGAAAAGCUCUCUUCCUGUCUGCUCUCAAUGCCUCCUUCUUCCCCGCCCGGUGACGGGAUCCCCGUCUGUUUCCCUCUGUUUAAUGCCGUUGCCGGGACCACGGUGGCCGCGCGCCAGGGCGCAGGGAGUUCCGGAGGCGGCGGCGGCUCCUCGGCCAGCGCGCCCCCGGUCCGCCCGGGGCGGCUCCUGCGGCCACCCCGGGGCCACCGCGGUCGGUCCCCGGCCGCGGCCCCUGCGCUCCCUUCCGCCCGUCGGCGCGGCCUGCGCGCGGGUGUGUUUAUCGCCGCUACCAGGAGAGACGCUACACGGGUUUUAUUUUAAGGAUCGGUGACUAACGAAGUUAAAAGGAGCUGAGGACAGAAAACAAGACUAUUUUUAGAUUACUGUUGUUUCUGUGGAUUAUUGGGGCGAUGCACCCAGGGAAGCUGACCGUUUUCAAAGUCCCUUUGGGCGCCAGAUCCCUCCUCCGGGAGCGCACCUGAGUGUGGAGCGCCUGGAGCCCGGGCCGUGCCUGUCGCCUGGCUUUGAGUUUGUGCGCGAGUGCUGCCUAGAUGUGAUGUGUGCGGGCCGGGCCGGGCCGGGAGGGCCUGCUUGCGCUGCCCUGCAGCCGAGGCUCGGCGCCCUGCCCUGGGGGACCCGCUGGGGCCUGCGGGGUCCGAUCCUCCCGGCCGCCUCGGUCCGCACCCGCCAAGCGCAGCCGCUCCUGGGCCGGGGGUUCGGCCCGCCGCCCCUCUUCCUGUUACUCAGCUGGGCAACCGGUCACUUCUUGCUCCUGGACGUCACCUGGGACAUCGCGAGUUAGGGGAGAGCGCGGUUCCCGCUGGACCUGUGUUCCGGACCACGGCCGAGGCCACUCUGAAACCUCUUCCGUUUAGGGGCCCUGAGCCUCUGACCCCUGUCGGCCGCGGGUGGGGGGUUCUCCUUCCUCACGGCACCUCUCACCGGCAGGAAGGGGGCACCCAGGCGGGUCAGAGCUGCCAGGACGCGAGCUUGGGGUGAACUUGACAUCCACAGAGUGUGGAGACGGUGCUUACUAAGAAAUCACAACUACGGAGGGUCAUUGGCUUUCAGGUGAACUGCUGAUGUUUUUAAAAACUGCCAGGGCAGAUAAGUCUCACAACUGUUCCUGGAGUUGGGGAAGACGGGGUGCCCUCUGACGGCACCCGUGUCAGAGCAUUCGGACUCCCCCCCGGGUGCAGGUGUUCCGAGAGCUCCGUGAAUGUGGGCUUCUGAGAUUCUCCGCUGCACUUGACUCACAGAGUCUCUCUGUAACCCACCCCCUUCCCCUGGGGCCCUGCAGAGGCCCUUUUAUUGUCUCUCUGCCCAGACGCAGCCCGACCACCCAGUCCAGGCACCGCCAGGUCUAAAACCUCAGUCGUCACAGACUCACUCACCUUCCCUCCCCGGGGCACUUGCCCAGGGCACCAAGGUCAAGGCCAAAGUGGUCAGCCUGGCACCUGAUGGUCUCCCCGCUCCACACCUGGGGCAGCCGUGGGGGACCUCCUCACCAGGAAACCAGCCUCAGUCCCAGGGCCCGGAGGACCGUCUCCCCACCUGUAUUUGGCCAGGCACCAGAACCUUCCUCCAAGCCGCCUGCCGCCCCUGCCCAGGGUCCUCGCCUCCCCCUGCCUGGAGAACCUUCCGUGCCACCUGAGAAGUACGACCCCCCUGCUGUCGCGGUGGACUGUCUGUCCACGCCUGGCGGGUCCGGCUGCUUGAUGACGCAGUGAAGUUCUUCUGUCUCCUCGCUGGCCUUCGCUCGGCUUGCGUGAGCGCCGUGGACGGUGGGGCGACGCCGUCCGCAGCUACUGUGGGACAACCGUCUGUCUCUCCUUCUUUCCAGGGGUUUCUUCGCUGUGUGUGGGCGCUCUGCGGCUGCGUCCUCCUGACGGGUCGGGUAUCGAGCGUCCCUCUGUGUCGUUAAUCGCACCCUCGUGUUACAGUCCUUUCUGUCUGACGUUCGCGCGAGCCUCUCACCUCUGCCGGCCUGUAUCAGACGCUGCGUUGUACCGCGUUCGUCCAUUUGUGCCUUUGACCCCUAAGGGCUCUCCGUCUCCAGCUGGAAGGCGGAUGGUGGGGUUUCUGUUUGUUUCACUCGACAGUCUCUGCCCUUUGACUCGAUCGUCUGGUCGAUCCACAUUAAUGUUCUUACCGAUGCGGUCGGCUCUCCGUCUACGGCGCCGUUUUCUGCUUUUCUCGUGCCUCCCUUCUUCUCUUCCCUUCUGUUGCUUUCUCAGAAUGCCGGCCGACUCUUCCCUGAUGCGGCGUCUCAGUCACAAUCCGCUUCACGAGAUGCUCGCUUGCUUCUGGCGCCGGUGUGAACCUCAGUCCCAGGUACGCUCGCUCCCUUUUCCCGAGUUUACGAGAUCACGUGACACCCGGUCCUGGCAACGCCCCGCUAAUUCUCGCUCUCCCGGCUCCCUAGGCCACACGGCUCUGCCCUGCCCGCUUCGUCUGGUUGUUAUCGCGCGUGUGUUACACGUCCGUCACAUUUGUGUUAAUCACAGGCCCAAUGUCGUGUCACAGACACAUUGGUUUAGACAACUGCUUUCUGAAUUGGUUACGGAAGGAGGGAGAAAUGUUGUACGUUCGUCUUUACCGGCGAUCCGGCUUUUCGGGCGGACUCAGCCUCUGUCUGGGGCGCUUGACUUCAGCCUGAGGCGCGUCCUGCUCUAUCUUGCGAGCCGGGCGUUUUGCACACGCGGCCCACGGCCUCCGGGCCUGCGCAGGCCCUGCCCAGAAGUCACCGUCAGUCCCUCGUCGGGGGCGCAUUUCUCCCUCGCAACCUUCGGGAUGUUCUCCUCGUCUUCGGCUUUCGGCGUUCUCCUUUUCGGCCACGUGCGGGUUUGAGUCGGCGCUUAUCCCCAUCCAGCUUCCCGGGCACCUACGUCACUAUUCGGUGGUAGGUUGGUGACAUCGGCCCCCGCGUCUCCCUUUCCUUCUGCCCUCUGUCUCCCGCUGCGCACUUGGUGCCGCGAACCCCUUCCUCCACGCCCCCUGCGUCUUCUCCCCUGCAUUUCCGCCCCCUCGGCUGCAAUCUCCACUGGUCUGUCUUCGAGCCGAGGAAUUCUUUCUCCUGCCCGUCCCGGUCUUCUGUCCUCCGCUCUCGUGUACCUUUCCCUUUAGUGCCGGUGCCUUUCAACUCCAGAACCUCCGUUCGGCUCUUUGCUACGGGUUCUCCCUCUUCCUCCACAGUCUCCUUCACGUGACAUCCCUUCGCCUCUCGAGUUCCGCGGUACUUGGAGUUCUGCGGUGGGUACUCUGCGGUACUUUUCGGUGAAGUCUGGCACCUGCCGGCUCCCCCAGGCGGCCUCUCUGCCCGCCUGCUUUCCGACGCGUGUGGGUGCCUUCCUGCGUCUCGAGUGCCUCGUAAUGGUUUACUGGAAACUGGACGUUUUAGAUAAUAUAUCGUAGCAACGUGGGGUUCUGCCCCCCCCAUCGGGGGCCUGUUCCCGUCCUCCGCUUGCUUAUCUGUUCGGUGACUGGAUCAUCCAGUGACGUCUCCUGCCCUCCCGGGCUGUCCGGCCCCUGACGCUGCUCCCAGGGGCCAGAGUGGGGGUGUCUGCGCCCUGCUUCUCCUGCGGGGAAAGCCCUCCGGCGGGGGGCGGGCGCAGGGGCCCCGUGUGCCGGGCUGCAGCCUCCGGAGCGAGUCUCUGUCCUCACGAAGCCGAGGGCGGGGGCGGUCCUGGUUCAGACCCCGAUGCCUCGCGCCUUUCCUAAUGAAUUUUCCCAGAUUUUCUCGGAUAGGUGUUUCACGUGCUGCUUGCCUUCAGGACCGCGUCCACAGGCUUCAAGUGGUGGUUCUGUUUGAAGGCGUGUCCUCCGGUCCCACCUGGAGAGGCUCAGCGGCUGCCCGCAGCUCUCCUGGCGGCAUCCCUGCCUCGACCCGGUCUGUGUCCCCGCUGCCCCCCCCAGGCGCGCGGCCGUGAGGGUCUUCGCCUCCGUGAGGCUGUGAGACGGUGCCGCUCGCGUCACUGAUGCCUCCCGCUGGUCACUCAACACGUCGGACCCUUUAUUCCGGGGCAGCACGGUCACGGGUUGAACCACGUCCCCCGAGAAGACGGGUCAGAGCCCCAGCUCCUGGUCUGUGCCCACGGGGUCUUAUUCGGAAAGAGGGUCUUUGCAGACGUGAUUGGCUCCGAGGAGGCCAGUAGGUGUGCCCUAACCCAGUGUGACCGGCGUCCUUGUCAGAAGGGGUCACGUGGCGGCGUCACCACGUGGUGACGGAGGGCAGGGACCGGAGUGCCAGGUGCCGCCAGCACGUGGGGCUGGGCAGAGACGGGGAGGGCCCCCACGGGUUGGCGAGGGCCACGGCCCAGUGGUGCUUCGACUCGGAACUUCCGGAGGGUUGGCAGCUGUGUCGGCCGAGGUGACCGUCCGGCAUCCCCAGGGGUGGACACGGACACCGUGCGGUUUCAUCUCCUUCCGGGAUGUCCCCCGUGUCCUGUCCCGCGGCCCCCAUCCCCUGGAUGCCACCCAGCUCUCCCUAGAGGACGUGUCGCGGGAGCGUGGCCGCCAGCCACGGCCACCGCACUCCCCUGUCACGCAGCCUCUGCCUCGGGGCCUGGCCCACGGUCUCUGAGGGGUCAUGGGACCCCCCCCCCCAACUCCCCGCAGGCUUCCUGCACCUGCCGGAAGGAGGCGUCUCUUCCUCUGGGGUUUGGGGGGCCAGCCUGUGGCUCCUCCUGGAGAAACUCCGCCACCCGAGGCCGACGUGGAGGGAAGCAGAUCCGGAGGCGGGUUUGCGAGCGGUUCAAGCGUCUGGAUCCAGCCGGGCCCGCGGGCCUGUGAGCGUGUCGCCGGGCUGAGGACACGACUCCCCUCCUGCUCAGGCCGGCCUGACUGGUGCUGCCACGGCUCCGGGAGCUACGCGGCAAACAAGACACAGCAAGUGCACGUGGCCAGACACGAUCUCCUCCUCCUGCGUGCGGACGGGACGGCCCAGCUUCGGAGGCAGAUGAGAACCAAGCGAUGCCCGGAAGAGGCAGGAAGGAGGAGGCGCCGGGCCGCGUGGUCUGCCGGAGCCCACGGAGGAUGCUGCCUCGCUCUGCACCUGGAAUACUCUUGGGAAACACAAACUGGGCCGAGCCGGCGGUCCGCGGCGUGUGCCCGUCGGGCGGCGCGGGUUGUUGAAAUACCGCGGGGGGCUCCCGUGCCGGCCCGGACGAGCGGCCCCCGGGCCCCCCGCGCCCGUGCUCCCCGCCCGGCCAGCCCUGGGCGGCCACAGGCUCCCGGAGACGUCACGCUCCCGUUAACUGACCUGAGUUUCUAGCACGCGAGAGGCACCUGCAAACGGGGGGCCUCAGCCUUAUCGGCCCCACGUGCCCCGGGCUGAGAGGGUCCUUCUGGCCACGUCCAGGGAGGAGAGACCACUUCCUCACGCUGCGGCCUUGGCUCUUGUCACCCUCCCGCCUUUUGUUUCUGACAAUACUUGGGUUUGCACCUGUGAGUUCACAAUGUCUUCUAAUGGCAGCGUUGAAACGCGUCCCUUAAGCUAGCCGGCUUCCUGGAUCUGUUCAAUUAAGCGGCAACGAAACGGGAGUGUUUUUAUCCCCGGUCUUAGACAGGGAUGCCGGUCGUCUUCAUCCCCUUGUUCGAUUCUCCGUGACCUCCCUGUUAGGCCCGGUGCCGUGCUGAUGGGGGUGGGGGGGGGAGGGCUCUGCAGGACCGCCCCCCCCCCCCAGGCCCAGGCCGCGGCACAAGCCGGGUGCCCCUCCCCGCGUCCUGGCUCCAAACCCCAGGGAAUGGAGUGGAAUCCACCCCAAAUCCACGCAAGACGCGGAGCCCAGCCCGGGCUUGUUCGCUGAGCUCCCCCAAACUAUUUUUAAAGUGUUUUUGGUUCAAUAAAGGUCUAAACAAGUUUU
Molecule: long non-coding RNA, 5934 nt
Organism: Felis catus (domestic cat)
Lineage: Eukaryota; Metazoa; Chordata; Mammalia; Carnivora; Felidae
Exons: 3
Source: RefSeq, a predicted model, not a curated record